This 309-nucleotide long non-coding RNA is filed under the name Glycine max (soybean). RNAcentral's name for it is "long non-coding RNA (GMAX_LNC000553)". The record is from RNAcentral. Lineage: Eukaryota; Viridiplantae; Streptophyta; Magnoliopsida; Fabales; Fabaceae.
AAGAACAAGAAAAGAAAAUGAAGCAGCUAAAGAAAGAAAGUUAUACAUUAUUAUGUGAUUGAUGCUUCUCUUGAAUUAAAGGGUCCUUACUGAUUUAACAGUGUCGAUGUAUGCUUUCAAUGCUGAUUCUGGACACCAAACGAGCUUCAUGGUGUGUGACCGUGUGUGAGUGAGUCUUUCUUUUUAUUUCUUUCUCUCUAGCUGUGAACAGUUAUAUAUCUUCACUUUCUGAGUUUUUUUGGAUAUCGUGUGAGGGGGUGAUUAAUAGAGAUAGUGAGGGGACACUUUGAUGUACCGGGUAGAGUUAGG